This 240-nucleotide long non-coding RNA is filed under the name Carica papaya (papaya). Its description in RNAcentral is "long non-coding RNA (CPAP_LNC000340)". Lineage: Eukaryota; Viridiplantae; Streptophyta; Magnoliopsida; Brassicales; Caricaceae. The record is from RNAcentral.
GGAGCACUAGGUGCGGGCAGCAUGCCCAAGAAUUGCGUAUGCACUAAUAAAGCUCCUCAACAUACAUGUCAGUGCAUGGUAACUUGUAAAUGAUAAUAAAUGUAUGUAAUUUUUUGUUUCGUAUAAUAUUGUCAUAAUGAAUAAAAUAAUACAGUUGCAAUCAUAUUUGAUCUAAUAAGAUAAUACAAUUAAUAAAAAUGUUCUUUCUUUUUUUUCUUAUUAUAAAUUUGUUAUCCCGUG